AUUGAACGCUGGCGGCAGGCCUAACACAUGCAAGUCGAGCGGAUGAAGUGAGCUUGCUCCUGGAUUCAGCGGCGGACGGGUGUGUAAUGCCUAGGAAUCUGCCUGGUAGUGGGGGAUAACGUCCGGAAACGGGCGCUAAUACCGCAUACGUCCUGCUGGAGAACGUGGGGGAUCUUCGGACCUCGCGCUAUCAGAUGAGCCUAGGUCGGAUUAGCUAGUUGGUGGGGUGAAGGCCUACCACGGCGACGAUCCGUAACUGGUCUGAGAGGAUGAUCAGUCACACUGGAACUGAGACACGGUCCAGACUCCUACGGGAGGCAGCAGUGGGGAAUAGUGGACAAUGGGCGAAAGCCUGAUACAGCCAUGCCGCGUGUGUGAAGAAGGUAUUCGGAUUGUAAAGCACUUUAAGUUGGGAGGAAGGGCAGUAAGUUAAUAACUUGCUGUGUUGACGUUACCAACAGAAUAAGCACCGGCUAACUUCGUG
RNAcentral lists this ribosomal RNA (484 nucleotides) under uncultured bacterium. Its description in RNAcentral is "partial 16S ribosomal RNA". It matches the Rfam family "Bacterial small subunit ribosomal RNA", at positions 30 to 507 of the family's 1533-position model. The record is from RNAcentral.